Molecule: long non-coding RNA, 491 nt
Organism: Homo sapiens (human)
Lineage: Eukaryota; Metazoa; Chordata; Mammalia; Primates; Hominidae
Exons: 2
Source: RefSeq, a predicted model, not a curated record
GGCGGCGGCUGUGGCCGGGGCCGCGGCGCGCGCGCGUUCCGAGUCCGCCGCUCCCUCCCGAGCGGCCGCGGGGCCCAGGCGGAGGCGGGAAGGGCCGCGGCUCCCGGCUUCUGUUCCGUCAGCGGACGCGCCCCUCCCCGACCUGCUCUUCUCGCCGGCCCCGGGCGAAGGGGCGGGGUGGGCGCGGGGCCGAGGAAGCCAGGGAAAGGAUCUGUGUAGAGUUCUUCAGCUCCUCCAAGGGGUCCAGACUCAAAACAGAUUAAGAACUACUGUUGUACACGAGGAAGAAGCGUGGCAGCUGAAGAUCCAGCUCUGGGAAUGCAGGAAGAAGUGGAGUCGAAAAAACAGGUUAUGGAAGAUGCUUAAGGGUUUUAGAUACGAUGAAUUAAUGUUAGCUACAUUAUAAUGAUUGUACUAGUUAAUGUCAGUUUUGUAAAAAGUGUUUUUAUAGUUGUUGGCAUAUAUAAAACUUGCACAAGAGGGUUUAUUAA